UAGCUAAGGCUAAUUCUCCGUUCCUUUGGUGCCCUACCUCUCUUCGCCGCCCCCCUCCCUUCAGUCACAGCAUCCCCUAUCAGCGGUGGCCUUCCCACAGCGGCAGCAUCGCCACCCUCUGUCGCAUUCGAGCAUCUCCAAACCUCUGGACUUCUUACGCUGUGUCCCUAUACUUACGGUCUCUCUGUGAUGGCAGCAUCGCCGCCCUCUCCUCUCACCGAUCGCCCUCUCCGAAUGCAGACAGGCAUUUCCCCUUCGCCCCCUCCUCCCAGCGCUAUCCUCUUCGCCCCCCCUCUCACCGACCGGCCCCCCGACGCAGGCAGGCGUGGCCCCUCUCAUUCGGCGCACCCUCCCUUUGCCGCCGCCCUCCUCUCACCUAGUGCGUUCGAGCAUCUUCUUCCUUGUGCUGGUCGACGUUGCAGCAGUUCUCCUUCCAGGUUCUUUCACCCCCUUCAGCAGGAGAACUGUCUGGUGCUGUUCAAAUCUUUGCCACCGAAGGUCUUUUAAGAUUUCUGUAUUGCUCUUGGGAUGUGACGAUAGCUAUUUUAAUUGAGAGAUUGCUCAAGUAUACUUGUCAAUUUGAUUUAUAAUUUAAUAAAUUAUUUAUUAUAAUAUAUUUUUAAAUUUUUUGCUAUAGAUAAUUUAUUAUUUGAAGAGGAUUUUGUUAUUAAAUUUAUACUAUUAUGUAGUUUUGUGAUUUUUUUUGUCAUUCAAUAUAGAUAAAUUUAUAAUAUCAAUUUAUGAAAAAUUAUUUUACGUUGAAAAGUAAGAUACCUAUUGAUAAAGUCAACAAAGAUUUAAUCUCAUGAUUUUAAAUUCCAUGUUAAAGAUCAUCUCGAUGGAGAUCAUGUUACUUUUCAUAGUUUGAAGUGGUGACAAAUGUGAAGUUAGCUGUUUUCCUUGAUCUCAUGGCUUAGAUUUUUUGCUGACAUGGUUCAACAGUUGUGGAUGCUGCAUUUACAAUCCAAGUUUUAGAUGCAGCAGCAUCUUCUUUGCUGCAUAAUGUUUGGUUGCAGACAAAACUUGUCCUUUUGAUGCUCACGGUCAGCUCCUUUUGAUAUCAAAUGCUCACGGUCAGCUGAGAGGAUUAUGAGAUGCGAGCAUCUUAUGAAGAUGCCUGGAUUUGGUGCUUGAUGUUAUGUUCUAAGAAAGCUUUGAGCUUUGUGUGGAUUGCUUGAUCGAUAUUUAAUUGUUAUGUAAUAAAUAAUUUUUGUAUAACAAAUUUGAUUAACUUUUUGAGCUUGACGAUUGUGCUACUGUCACGAGAGGCCUCAUGAUAGGCCUACAGUGUUGCAAUGGUGUUAAUGCAUGUUUUAUUGGUUGCCAA
Elaeis guineensis (African oil palm) is the source of this 1327-nucleotide non-coding RNA. NCBI's taxonomy places the organism in Eukaryota, Viridiplantae, Streptophyta, Magnoliopsida, Arecales, Arecaceae. The record is from RefSeq and is a predicted model, not a curated record.